Molecule: ribosomal RNA, 263 nt
Filed under: uncultured bacterium
Lineage: Bacteria
Description: partial 16S ribosomal RNA
Rfam family: Bacterial small subunit ribosomal RNA
Source: RNAcentral
UGUUGGUGGAAAGCUUUUGUGGUUUUGGAUGGACUCGCGGCCUAUCAGCUUGUUGGUGGGGUAAUGGCCUACCAAGGCGACGACGGGUAGCCGGCCUGAGAGGGUGACCGGCCACACUGGGACUGAGACACGGCCCAGACUCCUACGGGAGGCAGCAGUGGGGAAUAUUGCACAAUGGGCGCAAGCCUGAUGCAGCGACGCCGCGUGAGGGAUGAAGGCCUUCGGGUUGUAAACCUCUUUCAGUAGGGAAGAAGCUGNUCUUU